This 70-nucleotide transfer RNA is filed under the name Capra hircus (goat). It matches the Rfam family "tRNA". Rfam says of the family: Transfer RNA (tRNA) molecules are approximately 80 nucleotides in length. Their secondary structure includes four short double-helical elements and three loops (D, anti-codon, and T loops). Lineage: Eukaryota; Metazoa; Chordata; Mammalia; Artiodactyla; Bovidae. RNAcentral also lists the same sequence under 1 other name. The record is from Rfam by way of RNAcentral.
UCCCUGAUGGCUUGGUGGCAAAGAAUCUGCCUGCAGUGCAGGAGUCCAGGUUCGAUCCCUGGGUUGGGAA